GAUGAACGCUGGCGGCGUGCCUAAUACAUGCAAGUCGAGCGAACGGACGAGAAGCUUGCUUCUCUGAUGUUAGCGGCGGACGGGUGAGUAACACGUGGAUAACCUACCUAUAGGACUGGGAUAACUUCGGGAAACCGGAGCUAAUACCGGCUAAUAUUUUGAACCGCAUGGUUCAAAAGUGAAAGACGGUCUUGCUGUCACUUAUAGAUGGAUCCGCGCUGCAUUAGCUAGUUGGUAAGGUAACGGCUUACCAAGGCAACGAUGCAUAGCCGACCUGAGAGGGUGAUCGGCCACACUGGAACUGAGACACGGUCCAGACUCCUACGGGAGGCAGCAGUAGGGAAUCUUGCGCAAUGGGCGAAAGCCUGACGGAGCAACGCCGCGUGAGUGAUGAAGGUCUUCGGAUCGUAAAACUCUGUUAUUAGGGAAGAACAUAUGUGUAAGUAACUGUGCACAUCUUGACGGUACCGAAUCAGAAAGCCACGGCUAACUACGUG
RNAcentral lists this ribosomal RNA (497 nucleotides) under uncultured bacterium. RNAcentral describes it as "partial 16S ribosomal RNA". It matches the Rfam family "Bacterial small subunit ribosomal RNA", at positions 28 to 507 of the family's 1533-position model. The record is from RNAcentral.